RNAcentral lists this ribosomal RNA (443 nucleotides) under Trogloneta sp. MYSM-025-CHILE. RNAcentral describes it as "partial 16S ribosomal RNA". Lineage: Eukaryota; Metazoa; Arthropoda; Arachnida; Araneae; Mysmenidae. The record is from RNAcentral.
UUCUUAUAAAUAUAUCUAUAAGUAAAAUCUGCUCAAUGAUAUUUUUAAUAGCCGCAGAAAUUUUACUGUGCUAAGGUAGCAUAAUCAUUAGUUUCUUAAUUAGAAUCUAGAAUGAAAGAUUUAACAAUUUAAUUUCUUUUUUAAACCUACAAUAUUAAACUUAUACUAAAAAUAAAAAUAUUUUUAUUCAUUAAAAAGACGAUAAGACCCUAUUAAAUUUUACUAUAGUUUAGCUGGGGCAGCUAAUUAAAAAUAAUUUUAAUUUUAAAUAAUUUAAUAAAUUCCUAAUAUAAUUAAAUUUAACAAAUUACUAUAGGGAUAACAGCAUAAUUAUUUUUUAAAGUUCUUAUUAAAAAUAUAGUUUAUGACCUCGAUGUUGAAUUAAUUUACUUUUAUAAGCAAAAAUAUAAAAAGAGGGUCUGUUCGACCCAUAAUAUUUUACA